Molecule: transfer RNA, 57 nt
Filed under: Loxodonta africana (African savanna elephant)
Lineage: Eukaryota; Metazoa; Chordata; Mammalia; Proboscidea; Elephantidae
Rfam family: tRNA
About the family: Transfer RNA (tRNA) molecules are approximately 80 nucleotides in length. Their secondary structure includes four short double-helical elements and three loops (D, anti-codon, and T loops).
Source: Rfam by way of RNAcentral
UGGCUCAGUGGUUAAGCAUUUGGCUGCUACCCAAAAGGCAGGCAGUUCAAAUCCGCC